Ylistrum balloti is the source of this 1972-nucleotide long non-coding RNA. RefSeq lists it as uncharacterized. Lineage: Eukaryota; Metazoa; Mollusca; Bivalvia; Pectinida; Pectinidae. The record is from RefSeq and is a predicted model, not a curated record. The transcript has 4 exons.
UUCGCCAUAUUGUUAUUUCCAACCGAGGAACACAAUCGGCGUAGUCCUCUCUCGUCACUACUGUCAACCACACCUUAGGAUAUCCUGGCAUUUUGUAGAAUUAAGCCUUGCUGAAGUUAGUGCAGUCAGCACACAGUAAAAGGAGGACCAGACUCUUGAUUCCAGAUUCAUUUUGUCGGGGUAAGAUCAGCAACAUCAUUUAAACCACAGCAAAGUUCAUUGCUUAUUGGAUGUAGGUGUCUUAGUGAAACCUUUUCGUGCCAUCACCAUUUAUGUGACACGUCACACCAUCUGUGCAUCACAUUAUCACCGUCUGUGUACUACGUCAUCACUGUCAUCAUGCCAGUUCUUAGCCGAAGUGACCAAAUAGAGAAAGUAACAAGUCACGUGAAUCAGAUGAAGCGCCACCUGCAAUGUCAGCGCACGCCAAUGAGUGUCUCCAUUCAAGAAAUGAUUACUUUUUGUGAACAAAACAUCGCAAAUGAUCCGCUUGUUUAUCCUGUGAAGGAUAAUCUUUUCAAGGACGACUCAUGUAAAAUGUGCACAAUAAUAUGAGCAAAAUGUCACAUUCCAAAAGGUCACUUAAAUUGUUGUUAAGUGCUAAUUGUCAUGCAAAUUGCACGAGUUUACUUGUUUGACGGGUUUUUGAUAACUGUUUUCACCACAGGUGCUUGAAUCUAUAUCUCCUAGAGACUGCGGUUUUAAGUAGGGAUACUCUGGCUGUAGUAUUCGUGCACAAGGUUAAGAUUUUGUUUUAAGUAGUGAAAUCGGGGAUUGAUUCAGUAUAUGUGGUUAAUACAGUUUUAUUCACUUGGCAUGAACGAUAUUGAGACUUAAAUGUCAUUUUUAGGAAUAUCUUUGGGUUUAAAAUGGAAUCUCGCUAAUCCAACCGGUAUUUUUUAUAUAUUCAUUUAUAUAUUUAAUUGUUCCAUUAAAAGUGGUAAUUCGAUAUUCCGGAGUCAGAGGAAUCUGCACUAAAUUGUCCGGAUUAGCUACAUUCCACGUUAUGUGUUAGUAGUAGUUUAGAUGCAUAAUCACACAGUCUGAUGUUUACUUUAGGACGCAUGUACCUAUUUUUUUCUGUUUUUGUGUCGGCUAGUCUUGGGAGGGUCGAUUAAUUUAAGUCAUGGGAUCGGGUUGUUUAUCCGUCAAUAUCCAGUCACAGAAAAUACUUUCCUCUUUCUUCAUGAUUCAAAAAGCAAAUAAAAUCGGUUUCAAGUUGAAAAAAACCCCAAGCAACAAUGUUAUUAUAUCCGUUCUCACACCGUAGUGUAUGUAGAUACUGAAAUAUGUUAUAUCACUACCACUACUUUGUCAGAUCGGUUACAUUGUGAUUUUAUGAUUCAUGUACAUUGCUUUGUAUAACAGAAAAUUACGGACAAAACGACGGCGUAUAAAGCUCAUUCAUUUAAUUUUAUAUUUAUUUUGAAAUUAAAUAGUACGGAAAAAUCAGCAAUAUCUCACGUUCUUUCCAUAAAUUCUUUAUGAUCAACAAAUUGAUAUUGGGACGGACUGAUUUGACGGAGGUAGACUAUGGGGCGGAGCAGGAAUUGAAUCUUGAAACAACAGCAUAAUGUUAAUCUAAAGAGUAUAGGAUAAAGCAUGCAUCAUAUAUUAUUUGCGCAAGGAGGAAUAUCCUAAAAAUCAACUGAAGUAGAGAAAAGAAAGAUUUUUCAUUUAUAAUAAACUUUUACGGUUUAGUUUUGUUUCAUACAAGAUACAUCUGCGUGCAAUAUGUCUGUAUCAUAUUGGAUAUUCCUGCUUGUAACUUGACGAAGUUUGCAUGUUGUAACGUAUAUACGUUUAUUGUCAAUGUCAGUUUGCAUGUAGUUAUUGUCAAAUUGUAAGAUACAUGAUUAAUUGUUAUUGUAAGUCAGUAUAUUCAUCCAAUCUAUACACAUCAUUAUCAUACUAUAAAACUGUCAGUAACAAAGAAAACAUGUUUACAUCUUAAUAAAACCAUACCAUCUUA